Vigna umbellata (rice bean) is the source of this 2224-nucleotide non-coding RNA. The record is from RefSeq and is a predicted model, not a curated record. Lineage: Eukaryota; Viridiplantae; Streptophyta; Magnoliopsida; Fabales; Fabaceae.
CUACUUCUCCUUAGUCAUGGAUCUUAAACAACAUACCAAAACCAAACCUAAUCGGGUUCAGUUGCGAACGGUGUCGUUUGCUUCUCCCUAUUGUUCGUAUUCACUUUGCCAUUGACAUUGACAACGAUUCCAACUACAGACCACUAAAGUGAAAAAUUUCUCAGUCACAAAAAUUUCUUAACUCCCUUUUUCUCCUUGUCUAUAUUUCCCUUCGUCUUGUCACUCUGCAAAUCCAUUUCCCAGCUUUCAUCUUGAAUUUGAGACAUCAAUCUGCGCUGUGCUAUUUGGAAAGUUCACACCUAUUUUACUUACUGGUUGACUUUUUGUGAUAGAGAUCUGUGUACCACUGCAGAUUCUCCCAUGGAUCUUGUGCAUUUGAAUAAUGUUGCUCGAGUAACAACAUCCUGAUUGAAGAAUUCCUUUGACAGGUGGAAUAUUAAAUGGUUGUUUGGGUUUGAAGUUUAUUUUUGAAAUCAGGAGUUCCCUGCAUCGUAAAAACACUUCAAGUGUCCCUGUUUGCUUUUCAAAUUGUUGUCAGAUGUCAGAAACUGACUUGGCAGUUAUUAAACCCGAGAUGAUGAAGCCUUAUGUCUGGCUUCAGACUUCAGAUGAUUCAAUCCAACAAGUGGAACAAGAAAUUGCAAUGUUUUGCCCACUUAUAUGUCAAGAAAUAAUACAAAAAGGCUUGGGAUCUUCCAAGAACUGUGCAAUAUGUCUUCCUCAACAAGUCAGUCCUGCCAUGUUGAGCUUAAUUCUUGAUUAUUGUCGUUUUCAUCAAGUACCAGGCCGGUCAAACAAGGAACGUAAAUCUUAUGAUGAGAAAUUUGUUAGGAUAGACACAGAGAGGCUAUGUGAGUUGACAUCUGCUGCAGACAGCCUUCAGUUAAAACCGUUAGUCGAUCUAACCAGCCGUGCACUUGCUCGAAUAAUUGAAGGGAAGACGCCAGAGGAGAUACGUGAUAUAUUUCAUUUGCCAGAUGAUCUUACAGAGGAAGAAAAGCUGGAGCCAUUGAGAAAUAUAACUGCUGACCCAAGGAUCAGGCUUUUGAACCGUUUGUAUGCAAAAAAGAGAAAAGAACUAAAAGAGCGUGAAAGGUUAAAGAAUGUUGAGGUUGAAGAAGAACAUGUGGAUGAUCGUUCAGUUGAUGACUUAUUGUCUUUUAUCAAUGGAAAUGAUGGAGAUCCAAAGGGAGUUAAAACUUCAAAGAAUAAAAAGAAGAAUAGGAGGAAAAAAGAGCAACAGAAGAAUUCUUCUUUGAAGGAGGCAUCUGAACUGAACAAGAAGGAGGUAAAUGGUCAUGAUAUCAGACACCAAAGUUCUGAAGCUGAGAUAAUUAGUGAGACCUCGUAUUUACACUAUGCAGAAGAUGAUGCUUUUACUUCUAAGCCUGAGUUUGAUGAUGGUGAUAUAGAUGAUGAGAUUGAUCCCGCUUUAAAGGAAAAAAUUGACAGUAACAAGAGAGCAAAGGAAUCUAUAACAAAGGUGUUGCUUGACUGAGACACAGCUCUUAGUCAAUUGAAAUUUCAUUUGCAGCAUGCCUAGCAAACUAUUAAGUAUGCAAAGUCAGGCCCCAAAGGCAGCAAUUUUUUGUUUGCCGCAACUGUCCCAAGCUAUUCCCGCAGUACUCUGCCCCCUUCCAGAUGGUGUCCUGCAUUGGAAAUGUGGCCUAUAAGUUCCAGUUACCUCCAUCAGCUCAAAUUCAUUCCAUAUUCCAUGUUUCUCAGCUUAAAAAGUCCUUGAGAAGUGGUUUUUGCUGACUGUUUUUUGAACCCCAACUACUGGAGAUUGGUGAAGUGGAACCUCCCACCCCUGAGGCUAUCUUAGCAACUAGAGAGAUUUGAAGCCAUGGAUCCAGUGGUGGAAUGGCUGAUCUUUUGGCGGUCCCUGCCAGUGGAGGAAGCACCAAGGGAGCUUGCUACUUCCAUUCAAAAUAAAUUUCCCACUUUCUGCCUCGAGGACAAGGCAUAUUUUAGAAAGGGUGGUAUUUAUAGGAAUGGGCACAAUUUGGAGAAGUCUUUUGGAGUUAGAGGAGAAGAAUUCUGUUACAGGGGGCAAAUGAUUGAUUGGAGUCCAAAGAUCUCCUGGAAGUGGAAGAUUUUGCCCGCAGAUUAAAUUCUGACUGGCCAGAAAGAAUGCAAGAACUUUUAUCAUCAGGGCAAGAACGGAAGACGGUGCUUUUCACUGCAGAUGGUUUUAUAAGGCGACAUGCUUGUAUGAUUUCAC